UACGUAGGGUGCGAGCGUUAAUCGGAAUUACUGGGCGUAAAGCGUGCGCAGGCGGUUUUGUAAGCCAGAUGUGAAAUCCCCGGGCUUAACCUGGGAAUGGCAUUUGGGACUGCAAGGCUUGAGUGCGGCAGAGGAGACUGGAAUUCCCGGUGUAGCAGUGAAAUGCGUAGAUAUCGGGAGGAAUACCGAUGGCGAAGGCAGGUCUCUGGGCUGACACUGACGCUCAUGCGCGAAAGCGUGGGGAGCAAACAGG
Molecule: ribosomal RNA, 253 nt
Filed under: uncultured bacterium
Lineage: Bacteria
Description: partial 16S ribosomal RNA
Rfam family: Bacterial small subunit ribosomal RNA
Source: RNAcentral